This 457-nucleotide ribosomal RNA is filed under the name uncultured eukaryote. Its description in RNAcentral is "SSU rRNA". It matches the Rfam family "Eukaryotic small subunit ribosomal RNA", at positions 587 to 972 of the family's 1831-position model. The record is from RNAcentral.
AGCUCCAGUAGCGUAUAUUAAAGUUGUUGCGGUUAAAAAGCUCGUAGUUGGAUCUGUGUUUCGAGCCGUCGGUUCGCCGCCCGUCGGCGUUUAACUGACGCGACUUCGAAACGUCCUGCCGGUUGGCGGUCGGUCGCGCGUCUUAUCUUCGGAUUCGACGGACUUGCGACGCGCCAGUGUUUUCACCCGUUCCCGAUACUCUUCACCGAGUGUCGAGACGGGCCGGCACGUUUACUUUGAAUCAAACUGAGUGCUCAAGGCAGGCAAAUUUUACCGCUUGAAAGAUCUUGCAUGGAAUAAUGGAAUAGGACCUCGGUUCUAUUUUGUUGGUUUUCAGAACCCCGAGGUAAUGAUAAAUGGGGACUGACGGGGGCAUUAGUAUUGCGGCGUUAGAGGUGAAAUUCUUGGAUCGUCGCAAGACUACCUAAAGCGAAAGCAUUUGCCAAGGAUGUUUUCA